AUACGUAGGUGGCAAGCGUUGUCCGGAAUUAUUGGGCGUAAAGCGCGCGCAGGUGGUUCCUUAAGUCUGAUGUGAAAGCCCCCGGCUCAACCGGGGAGGGUCAUUGGAAACUGGGGAACUUGAGUGCAGAAGAGGAUAGUGGAAUUCCAAGUGUAGCGGUGAAAUGCGUAGAGAUUUGGAGGAACACCAGUGGCGAAGGCGACUGUCUGGUCUGUAACUGACACUGAGGCGCGAAAGCGUGGGGAGCAAACAGGAUUAGAUACCCGGGUAGUCCACGCCGUAAACGAUGAGUGCUAAGUGUUGGGGGGUUUCCGCCCCUCAGUGCUGCAGCUAACGCAUUAAGCACUCCGCCUGGGGAGUACGGUCGCAAGACUGAAACUCAAAUGAAUUGACGGGG
RNAcentral lists this ribosomal RNA (397 nucleotides) under uncultured bacterium. Its description in RNAcentral is "partial 16S ribosomal RNA". It matches the Rfam family "Bacterial small subunit ribosomal RNA", at positions 523 to 918 of the family's 1533-position model. The record is from RNAcentral.